AAACAGGCUAGGACCGCCACUGCUGUUUGGCUUGUACCAAAGCUUCUCAGCAUGAGCAAAGAGCUGAUGCGGAGGGCCAAGAUGAAAUGUGGAUGGACUCUGAGUCAGACAGAGAGUCUGAGAAGAAAUCUGUGCAUGGCCCUUGUCUGAACGGUGGCACCACCAACAAAUUCACAGUGGAAACAAGAGGAGCAGGUACUGUUGCCCCUGGUCUACCAAUGGAACUUCCAUCUGAGGCCAAAAUGUCCUGAACCGACAACAAGGAUGGCAGCUGCAGUGUGGAGUACAUCCCAUAUGUGGCUGGCACGUACAACCUCAACAUCACAUAUAGAGAACAACCUAUCACAGGUGCUGAAUGGUAUUUUAGUAGUAUUAAGAAAUACAAUUGUGAGAUAAGAGCGUCUUAAGUGUAUAGUGUUGAAAUGUACUCCAUCUGCUGCUGUUAAAAAAGGGGGGGCUUAAAUAUUUCUUCUAAUUUUCCCUCAUGUCUUGCCUGAGCCCAAGAAGGCAAAUAACCAUUACAACCAUGAUGGGACCUACCUGGUGUGUUAUGUGCCAGACAUGACUGACAGAUACACCAUUCUCAUUAAGUACGGAGGAGACGAGAUCCCUUAUUUACCCUACUGAACCAGGCUUCUGUUUAGCAGAGAUGCCAGCAAGUGCACUUUCACAGUGUUGCUGGUGUACUUGCACAUAAACCACUGAAGGUGGGCUCGGCUGCAAAUAUUCCACUGGACAUAGGAGAGCUUGACCUCAGCCAGCUGACAGCCUCUCUUACAACACCCUCGGUGCGAGAGGAGCCCUGCCUGCAGAUGAUUCUGCGUAACACUCACAUUGGAAUCUCCUUUGUUUCCAAGGAGAUUGGUGAGCACCUUGUUAACAUCAAGAAGAACGGUCGUCAUGUUCCCAGCAGCCCAGUUGCUGUUAUGAUCAAGCAGUCAGGGAUUGGUGAUGUGAGCCGUGUGAGUGGACCGGGGCU
This is a long non-coding RNA of Neolamprologus brichardi, 979 nucleotides long. RefSeq lists it as uncharacterized. The record is from RefSeq and is a predicted model, not a curated record. NCBI's taxonomy places the organism in Eukaryota, Metazoa, Chordata, Actinopteri, Cichliformes, Cichlidae.